CGCACACGCGCCGGACCGGGUACCUCUGUGCCCGACCUGGCCGCGGCCUAGUCCCGGCAGACGGGACUGACGAGGUCACCAACACCAGGCCGAGACGGCGUGGGUGUCAGGGACUUGGGAAUCCCCCUCCCCCAGUCCCGAUCCCGCUUUCCUCUGGGGUGAAACCCCAGAGGACCCGACGUCACUCUUGCAGAACAGCCAUCUACCUGUCUUCCUAGCUCGCUCCCCGCAGGAAUGGUCUGGGGCAACCCCAGCAACAUGCCCACCUGUGGCCAGGAUGAAUAGGAAUCCAGUUCAGGCUUGGCUUCCAUGGCAAUCAAGGCCCACCAGGCCCCAGCAACCUUCCCUACCCCCCAUUCCUUUUUGCUGCCCCCCUCCACACCGGGCAUGUUCCCUGCCACACCAUGCUGUUCCCCUCACCUGGGCUGCCCUCCCAACUCCUUUCUGCCUCUGGAGAUGCUCUGCCAUUCAAGACUUGGCUCAGGCUCCAGGUCCUCCCUGGGCCUUCUAGAGCCCCUGGUUCUCACUCCUCUGAACACUUCCAGCCUGGCUAACAGCCCACUGCAUCCUGGCCUGGGGUACAGGUGGCCAGCACAGGUGUGGGGGUCAGCUUCCAACACAAGCACGGGUAGGUCCCUCUGCAGACCGUGGGCUGCGAGAGGCCCGGCCUUGCCCACUGCAGGGGCCCUGCGCAGGGCUGGGCAUGAAGCAGGUGGGUGUCCACCAAUCUAGUAUCCAAAAUCCUGCUUGGUUCACCCCCACCUCUGUUGAAGGAAAGCAACACUGUGAUGGAGAGGAGCAGCUGUGGAUUCAAAUCCUGGCUUGGCCACUUUCUAGUUGUGUGACUUGGUGCAUCUGCCCUCAUCUCCUCAGAGACAAAAAUGGCAACACCUCCCUUCUUGGGUUACUAUGAGGAUUAAAUAACAAAACCUCCAAGAAGCAGA
Molecule: non-coding RNA, 944 nt
Filed under: Pongo abelii (Sumatran orangutan)
Lineage: Eukaryota; Metazoa; Chordata; Mammalia; Primates; Hominidae
Source: RNAcentral